This 20-nucleotide non-coding RNA is filed under the name Arabidopsis thaliana (thale cress). Lineage: Eukaryota; Viridiplantae; Streptophyta; Magnoliopsida; Brassicales; Brassicaceae. The record is from RNAcentral.
UAAAGUAACAUGAUGAUAAA